UAAAAUAUCGUUUUAGAAUCACAUCUGCCUUUUAGCAACCACAGAAUGAAGUGAAGCACAGAAAUGAAGUCUACCUUCUACCUGGCACAGAAAACAAGUAACAAGAAAAUGGGAGGGAACUGGUAUGUGACUGAUCUAUUUCUGACAUGAAUCUAGGAUGCAACUUGGAGGUAUACACAGAUGGAAUAUCUGGUAUCGUAUAAAAAGAAAUUUUACUUAUAUCAACUAAGUGUUUGCACAUGUAUUUUAUGACCUUGGCCUGACACAACAUUUGGUACCUUGAGUAACAGAAAUUAUUGGUAUGGUCUCUCAGCUCGGUUCCAAUGAAAAAGAACACAUGAUGACUUGGAUGGUUCUGGAAAAAAGAGGCAUGAUUUGACCCCAAAGAAAGGUCACGUUACUUCUGCAUCUUGAGCCUAUAUUGUGAUGGGAUUGAAAGCACUGUUCAAGGUUCAAGCCACUAGAGUUUCUGCCCUCACUACAUUACCUGCAACAGAACAAGGAUGUUGCCAUCAUAAACAAGCACUCUUGUAUUAAAUCUGUGAGGUUGAAUUGCCAGUGACCAGUCCAUCACUUCCUGGACAGACAGUUACUAGUUGAUUGUUUCCAAAUUGUCUCCAUUCACUUACUGAAGUGGUCAGUUAAUAAAGUCACCAGCACAAU
This is a long non-coding RNA of Athene cunicularia (burrowing owl), 663 nucleotides long. RefSeq lists it as uncharacterized. The transcript is spliced from 5 exons. The record is from RefSeq and is a predicted model, not a curated record. Lineage: Eukaryota; Metazoa; Chordata; Aves; Strigiformes; Strigidae.